CCCUUAGAUGUUCUGGGCUGCACGCGCGCUACACUGAUGCGCUCAACGAGUUUACGAACUUGUCCGGAAGGGUUGGUUAAUCUUUUUAAAACGCAUCGUGAUGGGGAUAGAUUAUUGCAAUUCUGAAUCUCCAACGAGGAAUUCCUAGUAAACGCAAGUCAUCAGCUUGCAUUGAUUACGUCCCUGCCCUUUGUACACACCGCCCGUCGCACCUACCGAUUGAACGGUCCGGUGAAAUCUUGGGAUUUGCUUUGCUUUCGUUUGUUCGAUGCUCGGCGAAGAACUUGAGUAAACCUUNCNGUUUAGNGGAAGGUGAANUCGUANCA
Molecule: ribosomal RNA, 326 nt
Filed under: uncultured eukaryote
Lineage: Eukaryota
Description: partial 18S ribosomal RNA
Rfam family: Eukaryotic small subunit ribosomal RNA
Source: RNAcentral